GAUGAAGAACGUAGCGAAAUGCGAUAAGUAAUGUGAAUUGCAGAAUUCAGUGAAUCAUCGAAUCUUUGAACGCACAUUGCGCCCCUCGGUAUUCCGAGGGGCAUGCCUGUUCGAGCGUCAUUAUAACCCUUCAAGCUCAGCUUGGUGUUGGGGCCUGCUGUAACUGGUAGCCCUUAAAAUCAGUGGCAGUGCUAUUAGGCUCUAAGCGUAGUAAUUCUUCUCGCUAUAGUGUGUAGUGAGCGCUUGCCAGAACCCCAAACUUUUAUAUGAUUGACCUCGGAUCAGGUAGGGAUAGCCGCUGAACUUAAGCAUAUCAAUAAGCGGAGGA
Molecule: unclassified non-coding RNA, 328 nt
Filed under: soil metagenome
Description: partial contains 5.8S ribosomal RNA, internal transcribed spacer 2, and large subunit ribosomal RNA
Rfam family: 5.8S ribosomal RNA (bases 1-120)
Source: RNAcentral